RNAcentral lists this non-coding RNA (106 nucleotides) under chicken gut metagenome. RNAcentral's name for it is "THF riboswitch". It matches the Rfam family "THF (Tetrahydrofolate) riboswitch aptamer". From Rfam's summary of the family: THF riboswitch presents a pseudoknot that joins P1-P2 and the loop of P3 and two THF binding. The record is from RNAcentral.
GCAGAGUAGAUAGCAGAGCGUUAAGUGUUGCGUGAACGGGGAGUUGUCACGCAAACGAAAAGCCGUGUAUGAACGGUCUUGCGGUUCGGCUGUCGCAUCCCGCUGC